Diceros bicornis minor is the source of this 2271-nucleotide long non-coding RNA. RefSeq lists it as uncharacterized. Lineage: Eukaryota; Metazoa; Chordata; Mammalia; Perissodactyla; Rhinocerotidae. The record is from RefSeq and is a predicted model, not a curated record. The transcript is spliced from 5 exons.
AGAGCCUUUUAGCCCUCAUGUGUUUCGGGUUCAUUUGAGGGUGUGGGUCCCCGCAGUGGGGGCUGAGCCGCCCUGGGAUGUGGGGUAGACGAAGGGACCCAGAUCCAAGUCGGGUCUUCCCCGCUUUGGGACUCGGAGCCCCGGCGGUCUCGUAGGUAAAGGCGCUGGGGUCCCGCCGAACCCAGUGAGUGUGGCGUCCGGCUCCAGGGGUGUCCUGGAGAUACUUUCCCUCUAAAGGCAGGGGCGCUGGAGCUCCUCAUGCUGGUGGCCGAGCUCCUAUCAGGCGUCUGAAGGCGGCAGGUUCUGAGGAUCUGUCCUGAUGGCUGCUGAACCAUCUGCUCCAGAUUCAAGGGCAGCAGUCCUCAGGAGACCCCAACACUUCACAUCCCUGGUGGGAUCUGAUGCCUGGCUCAACUCCUCAUGCCUGUGGCUGAGCUCCUAUCAGGUGUCUGAAGGAGGCAGGUUCUGAGGAUCUGUGUCCUGAUGGCUGCUGAACCAUCUGCUCCAGAUUCAAAGGCAGCAGUCCUCAGGAGACCCCAACACUUCAUAUCCCUAGUAGGAUCUGACGCCUGGCUCAAGGUGUGGCCUCUGAGCCCCAGAAACAGGAGCUGACAGAGAAGAACCAAGUGUGAUGUCAAGUGUGCAGACAGGUUCCUGGAGCAAGAAUGAAGAGAUCAGGGUCCUAUCAUUGGGACACUUUAGAUGCCUAGGUAUCUCAUGGAAAGGAGGAAAGAAGAAACGUGAAGAGAACAAAUGCACAUUCACAUCUCAGCAGCGUGACCUGCCAUUUAUGCCUCCUUCCCAUGUGUAUUCUCUUGCAGAGCUUCCAAAAUGGACACACCCAUUUUCUCAGUUUACAUGCUGUAAGCAGCAUGAACAGAAUCUGGACAUAAUAUUUUCAGUCACUUUUUUUGUGUCAUGUGUUUAAAGUCUUAGAGUUUCUUAAGUGCCAGCUAGAGCACAACAAUGCCUAAAUAUAUCCUGAAUGUGAAACUUCUUCCCCUUUGUCCAGGCCUUAUUUUCUGUCUUUCAAGUACACUGUUAAUCAUCUAGGGCUGUACGUCCAGAACCUGAUCUGGGCCGUCCUGGUGAGAGAAGACAGUGAUUGCAGGGAGUUAGUUUUCCUGUGUCCAGACUAACACUCAUAUCCCUCAGUCGGUUUGGGAGUGCAUCACAUUUUGAACUUGAGCUGAUUUGUAUUACAAGUGCUGGGCAUUUGUAUGUUUUCGUUUCCUUUUGUUAUUUUUCAUUGCACAAGGAAAGUACUUCAAAGGUGUUUUAAUGCACAUGUGUUGAUUGCCCUGGGGCCCUGGGCUGAAUGAGCCUGUGACUACAUAUUUCCCCUGAACCCCGCUGUUGAAGCAUUCUCCCCUCUGGAACCGGUGGGACUGAGCACUGGGCGAUCUCAUGCAGUCCCUCCUCCCCUCCCCUGUGGCGGUCACUGCUUGGCUAACUGUGUGGUUAAACCAGUGAGCCUGCUUUCAGAUCAACGGACUAUAUUUUGGAGACCUCAGAAAGAAGCAUGUUGUGAAACUACUUUCAACUUAUCACCUUCACUAAAAUCCAAGGAAAUCAAGACACUUUCUGACUGCUGAAUUUGAGGUUUAUUUUAAAGACAUGCUUGCGCUCUCCUAGGUUUCUAUAAUUUCCCUGAAGCUGCCCAACUGGGAUGGUCGUGUGGUAGAUUCAUAAAUUAGUUCUGGGACCACCCUAUUACCUAAGUCCCUUGGUUUAGGGAUGUUCCCCAUUGUGACAUUGAACCACUUUCCUGUGGGAAGGGCUGGGAAUAUUUAUUUUUUCUGAUUACUUUUUUUUACUUUUAAAACCAAGGCACUUUCAUUGCAGAUAAAAAUGGAAAAUGCAUGGAAAGCAAAAAAAAAAAAAAUCAUUACAAACUUUUAAAAGUCGACUACUCAUGGAUAAGCACUGUUAACAGUUGAAUGUGUAUAUAAUUUUUAGAAAUUUUACUAUGCAAAUAUAACCAUGUAGGUUUGUAAACAGCUCUUCUGUCACAAACAUCACAUUAUGAAGGUCAAUCCAUGCCAAUCAAUAUAAGCCCACACAAUAAUAAAAAUGGCAGUAGAAACACUGAUGGUCCAUUCUGGUAUGAUAAUAAUGAUCAGAAUGGUUACUAUUACUGCUGACUCCCUCUGUGCCCCACACUGUUGUACGUGCUAACCCUAUACUUACUCACUUCGUCCUCAACACAACCCAUGAGAAGGAGCUGUUGUUGCCCAUCUUUAAACAUCAGGGAGCUGAGGCACAGCAGGG